RNAcentral lists this ribosomal RNA (261 nucleotides) under uncultured archaeon. RNAcentral describes it as "partial 16S ribosomal RNA". It matches the Rfam family "Archaeal small subunit ribosomal RNA", at positions 748 to 1008 of the family's 1478-position model. The record is from RNAcentral.
CAGCCGUAAACUAUGCGCGUUAGGUGUAUCGGUGACCACGAGUUACCGAGGUGCCGAAGGGAAACCGUGAAACGUGCCGCCUGGGAAGUACGGUCGCAAGGCUGAAACUUAAAGGAAUUGGCGGGGGAGCACCACAACAGGUGGAGCCUGCGGUUUAAUUGGACUCAACGCCGUAAAACUCACCAGGGAAGACUGUUACAUGAAAGCCGAGAUGAAGACUCUGCUAGAUUUUCAGAGAGGAGGUGCAUGGCGUCAGUGACU